GUAUCGGAUUAUGGCAACGAUACGGAAAAGAAGCGAAGUUAUACGCAUAAAGAAUUAUAAUUAUUAUAAUAAUAAUGAGU
RNAcentral lists this ribosomal RNA (80 nucleotides) under Thalassionema nitzschioides. Its description in RNAcentral is "partial Trypanosomatid mitochondrial large subunit ribosomal RNA". The record is from RNAcentral. Lineage: Eukaryota; Bacillariophyta; Fragilariophyceae; Thalassionematales; Thalassionemataceae.